Molecule: ribosomal RNA, 496 nt
Filed under: uncultured bacterium
Lineage: Bacteria
Description: partial 16S ribosomal RNA
Rfam family: Bacterial small subunit ribosomal RNA
Source: RNAcentral
GGUGAACGCUGGCGGCGUGCCUAAUACAUGCAAGUCGAGCGAACAGACGAGGAGCUUGCUCCUCUGACGUUAGCGGCGGACGGGUGAGUAACACGUGGAUAACCUACCUAUAAGACUGGGAUAACUUCGGGAAACCGGAGCUAAUACCGGAUAAUAUAUUGAACCGCAUGGUUCAAUAGUGAAAGACGGUUUUGCUGUCACUUAUAGAUGGAUCCGCGCCGCAUUAGCUAGUUGGUAAGGUAACGGCUUACCAAGGCAACGAUGCGUAGCCGACCUGAGAGGGUGAUCGGCCACACUGGAACUGAGACACGGUCCAGAAUCCUACGGGAGGCAGCAGUAGGGAAUCUUCCGCAAUGGGCGAAAGCCUGACGGAGCAACGCCGCGUGAGUGAUGAGGUCUUCGGAUCGUAAAACUCUGUUAUUAGGGAAGAACAAAUGUGUAAGUAACUAUGCACGUCUUGACGGUACCUAAUCAGAAAGCCACGGCUAACUACGUG